Molecule: ribosomal RNA, 23 nt
Filed under: uncultured Streptococcus sp.
Lineage: Bacteria; Bacillati; Bacillota; Bacilli; Lactobacillales; Streptococcaceae
Description: partial 23S ribosomal RNA
Source: RNAcentral
AGGUUAAGUUAGUAAGGGCGCAC